This 164-nucleotide ribosomal RNA is filed under the name uncultured bacterium. Its description in RNAcentral is "partial 16S ribosomal RNA". It matches the Rfam family "Bacterial small subunit ribosomal RNA", at positions 355 to 511 of the family's 1533-position model. The record is from RNAcentral.
UAGGGAAUCUUCCACAAUGGACGAAAGUCUGAUGGAGCAACGCCGCGUGGGUGAAGAAGGGUUUCGGCUCGUAAAACUCUGUUGUUAAAGAAGAACAUAUCUGAGAGUAACUGUUCAGGUAUUGACGGUAUUUAACCAGAAAGCCACGGCUAACUACGUGACAG